GACGCAGAGGCAAAUACAAAACCCAAAACGCCCGUAUGAUUUUAUGGCAUAUGGAAACCGAGCAGAGUACUGGGGAAAUUACAGCAGAAACUGCUUUAAGGUUUGCUGGCCUUAGCUCGGGGUCCCUCCUGCACCCGCACUGCCUUUGCUCCUGCUCCUUUGGCUUUUUGAGGAAGUUUUAAUAGACAUAAUAAGCUAAAGUACAAGUCUUGAGUACAAGUGACGAGCGGAGCCGGGCCACGCUGGCUGUUUUUGCUGUUAGUACAAGACGCGCUGAAGUCAUCGGGCAAACGGGGCACGGUCCAAGCAUGCUACCGGCCUUGGAGCAUCCCCAGUGACUCGGGCAGGAUGAACACGUCCCCCGAGACCCCCGAGGGCGAGGGGCCCCCAAACACGCUAGCAAAACUCCGAGGAAACUUCUCAAGUGAGAGAGAAGUUAUAAAGCUGAAAUGGUAAAAUAAUGUCUACCGGAGAGAAGACCCACUAAAAGAGUUGAAAGGAAGAAAUAAAGAGAAGAAAACAGAACACUAAAACCUAGAGAGUGACUACAGCUUUUUGACAAAAUGAUGAAUUUUUAUUGUGCUGCAUCUUCGCUUAGAUGAGACCUGCUUUCUCAGAGAGGCUGCGGAUAGCGCGGAGGGCGUUGGGGUAAUCGCGCGCUGCGACGACGGCAGCGCAGCCCGUGUGCUGCGGAGGAAAUUUCACCCCUUGACUUUACAGCAAAUGCAGCACGGCAGCACAUUUAAUCAGCCUGAGCAGGUUUCCGAGGCUAAGACUCGGUUAUUUCCCCCCAUGCAGGGAACAUUGGGAAGAUGCUUUCAAGCACUGAUGUUUGAGGCGGAAUGGGCUGAAGCUUCCGCUUUUAGUGACAACGUUUUCUUGGCACCUAGCUCAAUUGCACCGUUCUGGACGAUACGCUGUUUUGCUACAUUUUUAAGCCAGCGCAGGUUGGUACCGCUUUUUGCGGCCGUAUACUCUGUCCCAAGAUGCAGAUUUCAUCCCCAUCAGGCCAUGUUUAAAUAUGUUUUCCACUAGUGUUUUUGCAUUCUAUGAAAACACUUUAAUAUUUCUGUUUACUCUUUUGGAGACAAAAAUCAAUAUUUGUUAGACGCAAUUAUGAGGAGUAUGCUGUCAGUGGUAUAAGAGCAUGAAAAAUAAUCUUACGGCACACUCGUAAUAAAAGCACAGAGGAGACACAAACAAGCUGACCUGAAAAAAAAAAAAAUCUCAUCCCAAAUCAUGAAUUCCAUAAUAAACAGGAAGCUUUUCAAGUGUUGGCCUAAAUUAGAGCUGAUUAGCUGCUUCAGGGCAUUGACUGAAAAUUUGCUUAAAUAGAAGAGCUGCGUUUGUUUUGGCUGUGUUUGUGCCCCUUCAGAUUUGUUUUUGCAGCCAUCCUGCACGCAUUUGGCAUUGACUGCUCGCCCUUGCUUUCAGGCUUCCCUUUGCAUAACCUAUACGUUUUUAAAAGGCUACAGUAGACAUGUUGGCUGCCACUGCGACUUUUUGCACCGCGCCUUCUCUGCUCUGCCAACCUGUUUAGCAUCUUCUUCCUUUUUUUUUAACAUCUCUAGCUUUAAGUGGUGUUUGAACAUGCAAAGUCUGUGUUUGAGAGCGAGCUUUACAAAAUGAAGUUGUAUUGUAUUGCUAUGUUUUGUAUUAACACUUUUAACAGGUGCAAAAAUGUAUGGUUUUGGAGGAAAGCAAAGAAAUAACAUUGAAUAUUCAUAUUACUUGGGCAUAUUAUCAAGUGGCAACAAAUGCACAAGAACAACAACAAAAAAGCGCAUGUUUUGUGAUCUCAGCCAGGUUCUACCUUCGGCACAAGCAAACACAGAUAAAAUUAAUAGCAGUCUCUCCAAAUAUUUACAGCUGUUGAAUAGCAACGAUAUCUUGCCUGCUGUCCUCAAAGAAUGAAACCUUCAGUUUGAUAAUAUUGGGAGGAUUCAUGUGAUUCGAAGCUUUGUGCAAUCAGGUUCAAAAAUUCUUACCUUCGGCUUCAAAACCCAUCUGCAACCUGGCCCGAGGGAGGGAUCCUGCUGCUCCCCGUUGCCGUUAAGCACCGGUGCUCGGGAGCCCGUCUGCACAGCGAGCCCCGGCCCCGGCCCCGGCCCCGGCCCCGGCGUGGGGCAGCGAGGGGCUUUGCCCCCCCCCUGCUCCCCUGCAGGACUUGCACAGCUCACGGUCGUUGAUGCUCACAUGCAUUUUUUCCCGGUGUUCAAGGUUAAACUUUCCACUACAGCAUAUUAGUUGGUAAAAGACAAAGGACAUUGAUCAGCAGCGAUAUGGGAACAUACAUUUCACAAAAGAUUUUCAGUUACAGUACCUGAAGAUAGAUCGAUAUUUUCUAUUUGCCUUAGCACUAGGCUUAUUUUCCCUCAUCACUGGAGAGAUAUGCAGUUGUGCUUGGUACCAGGACAUUAAAGUGUUGUCCGCUGAAGAACUGCAGGGCAAACAACAGCACUUUCCAGGAGCCGCUGACACACAGGAAUACAUCACUCUUCUUGAGUGUCAUUUUCCUGCUCGUUAAAGAACCCAAAUUUGUCCCGCCUUUACGAGGCUGGCUGUGCUGCGACCCGCGGCACCGCGUCGCUGCCCUGCGUGCGUGUGCCCAUGCAGGAUGUGCACGGUUUGAGAAACUAAUUUUGGAGGCUGAACCCGUCCUAGGGCAGCCUCCGCCUGGGAUCCCAGCGAUGCUGCCGCCGCUGCCUUCGCCCUCCUCCAGCGCGGAGCAGGACCGCUGCCGGCGCGGGGUCUGGUGGCCUGGCCUGGAUGUACGGGAGAAGAGAAACACCAUUUAUUGCAGCUGAUCCAGCUGCAAUUCAGCAGAUCUGUGUGCGUUCGCUCGGGUCGUCGAUCACCGCGCAGAAGAGAUGGCAGAGUGCCUCCUUCCUCCCAGGAACGGCCUUGCUGCCUGCUCGCCGCCUCUCAGGGCCCCGACGCCCUUAUGAAAUUCCACUUGGGCUCCUGCAUCAUCAUCAUUUAAAUUAAAAUGCUUCCAUCAUCGAAACCGGCCCGUCUCGCUGAGAAUUUUAGAGAAAUUCAUCUGCCUUUCUGUAAUACAGAUCAGGUGAGCAGAACGGCCUGAACUAAAGCUCGGCUAGAGGUUUGUUGUGACCGGCAAUGGGAGUAGAUCAUCUGAGGGUGGUUGUUUGGGUGUUUGGUUAAGCGAAGGGGAGGCAGGACAAGGGGAAUGGGCCGCAGAGCUGACUGCUCCUUGGCUCUUGCGUGGGAUGCUGCAUGGGGAGCUCAGCGGACACUUUAGUGGGAAGAGGAAACGCGUGUGAAAGCAGGAGCCCCUGGGAGCUGGGCAGGAGGGAGGCUGGGGACGAAAUGCCUUGCGCAAGCCGUGUGCUGGCCACCCCAGCACCUCUGUCGGUACAGCAUGGCCGGGUCUGCAGCCGGGCUGCCGUUAUUCCCAGCACUGAGCCCGCAAAGAGCAAGCGGCCCCAGGAAAGCUGGAGAGCAGGCGGUGGCAUUCGCAGGUGGAAUUGCUGAAAUUCGGCAUCAUUAAUGCGAGGGAGAUGAGACCGACCCUUGAAGCAAGAGGAGAUACUUGGGGGCUUCCUGAGAAAUUCCUCCUAGAAAGUCAUCUAUAAGCAACCCAAAAUGGUCCAUCCACCACCGCUUGGGUUCCCCGCGAAGAUGCCUCCCAGCUGGGACCCGUGUUCGCUGGCUGCUAAUGCCCAUCACCUAAAAGCAGGAUCUUGAGAAAGGAUCUUGAAAAAUCUUCUUAAAGUUCAUAUAUCCAGAAGUUGGUUGAAUAGGUGGAUUCAUCACUCUUCUCUAGAACAGGGUAACUGCUACAGACGAUAAAUCACAUUAACAGUAUUUAAGGAUCCACUUAAAAAACACUCAGGUCUUUGCUUUGGUGCUAUGGUGUGCAGGUGUUAAUGUCUGCAAUAUUUAUCUUUAUCUCUCAUCCUGUCUUCUGGUUAGGGACAGAGUAUAAUUAAUUUCCUAUUUGUUAAUCACUAUAAGUAAAUAGUGGUGCUGGGCUGUGCUGUCCUUGUGCUGGUCUCAGGCAGCUGGGCUGAAGUUCAGCGAGAAAGCAGAGGAAAAUUUCUGGUGUUUUUAAACUGUCGUUCAUUGCUCUGACUGGAGAGAAGAGGAUGGGUCUUAUUUGAGACAUGGGAAUAGUGAGUAACGUGAAAGUAAAACACCAUAAAACAUUGGUUCCUAAGUUGCUCCCUAUAAAGCAGUCAGAGUUUAAGUGAUGAAAGCAACGAUAAGGUAGUGAAGAGAUUACAGUAACAGUAGCGAAGGAUACCUAAAUUCCGGCUUUAGCAGAUUUCACUAAAUAAAUACACAAAAGUAUUUUGAGUAGUCCACAUUAAUAUGUCCUCAUAGUUUGGAGCAUUAUACAUAUACAUUUUUAUAUACAUAUACAUUUUUAUUACUUUUAAGAAGGGAAAUGAGAUAUUUAUGCUUUCUUUCCAUAAAAAAUUAUGCAUCAAGUAAACGGUACAUUAAAGAUCAUAGCCAUGUGAACAGUAAUAUCCAUUAUUUACUUUAAAAAUUCAGAGGAUAUUAAAAUGCAGAAAGCUGCAGUUUCGUACAAGUUACAGCUAUAAAUGGUUCAUGAUCUGAUAGCAAAUUAGCACAGGCCUCCAGAAAAAUGCUAAUUUCCCCUAAGCUGCUUACUGUGCACCUGCUUCCCUUAGAAGCCCGCGUGUCUGGGGUAUCGCAGUACGUCGUCAGUCUUGUGACGUGCGUUUUGCACCAGCGCCUCUGCAGAGGCCUCGCUGCGGAUCCCCAAGCACCCAGCCACGCCGCUGCGUUUCAGCCUGUCGUCGAGUGAGUUGGUAAAGCAAAAGCUCCUGAUCUGCAAGAAAGGCGAUACGUCCGUAUGCAUCACAGGGCUUUCCGGGCGCCUCGGCAGCUCAGAGAUAUUCAGCAAAAACUGCAACCAUGUUCGGUGGAAUUGCUGGGCAACAAUAGCUUCGUAUAAUGUAAAUAUUUUUACCUAACAACAAGGUAGCCUUGCAUUCAUAUAGUAGUCUCACCAGAAAUGUAAACCAGAAAUGUAAACCUGCAUAUCAACAUAUAUUAAGCGUCAGCGAGUUUAGUUUUCACGUUUACCCAGUAAUCAUAUGAAUGCAAAAUUCCCCCACUUAUUUGUAACAAAUAUGUACAAAACAUGGUGACGUUUUGGAGGCACAAGGAUCGUCUGUCUGUUCCUUUAGACAUGCAGACCAGUGGUGUCUUUACUCUUAUAAAUCACUGUAAUGGUUUCAAAUUGCGCUGUUUCAUGGUGAUAGGGUGUUUGGUGCACUGCAUGUUUCCAAACGCUGUACGGGCUCCCUUAGCGCCAGACCCCACGCGGCCUCGAUGACGGAGCGGGAUUUCGCCCAGUCCUGUGCGUUUGGGAACAUGCAGACACCGGUGUUUAUUAUUAUUAUUUAUGCUAUUAUUUAUCGUAAAUGUUAUUUAUUUACGAUAACUGUAAUGUAAGCAGUCUUUGGCUGCUUAUUAUCGUCUUCCCGUUCAGUCACUACUGCCGCAGUAGUAACUAAUCUAGGGCUGAUUAAACACCUGCGUCAGUAUUAUAUGAUGGUAUCCAGAAUUUAUUUGUAUGUGAAGCAUGUUUCCAGCUCCCGUAUCAGCAAACAUUGCAAUUUCUAACUCAAUUGUGUACAUGUUUAGCAAGUCAAAAACAAAUCUAUUCAUGUUUAUAUUUUUGUUCAGCUUCACGGCCUCAGCAUAUGUAGGUCUUGCAGAACGCUGUUCAGAAGCUUUGCAAGGUAAAAAUGUUUUUUUUCUUUUUUCUUGAGAAUGGUUUUUACUGAACAAGAGAAGGAAUUUAAGUGCUUUUCAGUAAGGUUUGGCUCUUUAAACCCAAUUUCAGUGUGGAAUUGUAAAUAGUCUUCAGGUGCAAAAGCAUUUGCAAUGGAUAAAACAUUAUCUGAAGGCAGAGCUACAUUAAUGAGUCAUUUGUGAGGCUGCAAACAAUUUGGAGGAAUAUGGUGGUGCUUUUUCAGCUGUGUGAGAAUAGCGACACAUUCGUUGUCUUCUCAUAAAACUUCAUAUGUUCAUAAUUACAACAUCAAUUCAUCAUACUUAUCAUUGUCAUCAAUCUUGGCCUGCACCAGCUGAUGCAGACAGUGGCUUGCAAGGCUUUUUGGGGAUUUUUAGUCUAGAGCUUCUACACACACAGUACAGUUCUACGAAUAUUUUGGUUUUUUCCCUCUUCUUUAAACUUUGUAGGCUUUCCAUGCUUGCCUGCUCUGGGCUAAAUCAUGGGCUUUGUUAUAUCUGGUCACUGUAUUUUAGCAAAUCUGUCAGAAGAAACAGCCUUGUUUUCUCUGGGAAGGGCUAAGGAGCAGAUCCGACUGAUGGACGAAGUGCUGCGUGCUCACCCUGUUCAGCGAUUGGGAUGGGCAUUGGAGAGCAGGCACUUAAAUUUGGUCACCAUUUGACAGCAUGCCUCGAAAAGUCUGCUAAAAGGAGACCUGCAGACUUACUGUGUUGUUUUGAGUUAAUAUGCCUUAUUUCAUUCACUUUAAAAUUCAUGCUUUCGUUUCAUGGUAAAACAUUCAGUAUGUUGAGAAAAAAACAUCUUCAGUUGGAGCCAAAGUAUACUAGUGUGUCUUUCUAACAAAUACAAUAAUAUAAUACUACAAAAAACAAGCUCAGUACACUUUAGUAGUUUAAAAGGACUAAAGAGCUGAAAUGUGCUGUUUGAGCAAUUUGCACAAAUUGCCACACGAUUCCGUAGGUUUGCUUAACGAAUCCCUGAGUACUAUUGCUCUUCUUACCAGUGACUGACCUUAAUGUUAUCUUCUCUUGCAUGGCAAUAUAAAAAAAAAAAUAUUGCGCACAGAAAUAUGGUUCGACAUGAUGAUGUAGACACGGAUGCAAAGGGAUCUGCUUCCGACGGCCUGACUCAUGUCUAGAUAACUUCCUUCUCUCUGUAUCUCGGUUUGAGUAACUUCAGACUUUGGACAGCAGAUAUCUAGUUU
Dromaius novaehollandiae (emu) is the source of this 6959-nucleotide long non-coding RNA. RefSeq lists it as uncharacterized. NCBI's taxonomy places the organism in Eukaryota, Metazoa, Chordata, Aves, Casuariiformes, Dromaiidae. The transcript has 2 exons. The record is from RefSeq and is a predicted model, not a curated record.